GCCGCCUCCAUUUUUCCCUCUCAUAUUCUUUUCUCAUCUCCUCCAUCUAUUUCUUUAUCAAACCCAAAUCAAACAAAAAACCCUAAUAUUUCUCCUUCAUCUCUUAUCGGUUAUCACUGAGAUGCUCUCACCACCAUCUAAAAACGAAGACUACAAACCUCAACCGUUGAUACCACGGCUGUUACUAUCAACGGCCGCGAGCUUUUUAACCGUAUGGUAACCAAACCCUUAUGUUUCAAGAUCUAGAGGUGAAUUUUUGGUUAGUUUCCUGAAUUUUUAAGGUAAAUUUCUUGACUAUCUGGUUAAUUUCUUGUUAUUUUUUAUUUUUAUUAUUGAUUUCCUGGUUUUAAUUUUUCCAUGACCUUUACUAUUUUGGCCUUUAACCAGGUUUUUACCUAUGAUUAUAAGAUUUACGAAUACUUUGAUAAAGAAAAGAAAAAGGCAAAGUGGAGAACAGAUUUUAGAAGAACAUAUUUUAAUUGUAUUUGUUUUUUUAUUUUAAUUUAAUAUGUGUUGAAGAUAAUGUAAAUAAAUUGAUGUAAUUAAACCACAUUUGUAUAUAUAAAAAGUUUUAUAUUUCUUUA
Mercurialis annua (annual mercury) is the source of this 584-nucleotide long non-coding RNA. RefSeq lists it as uncharacterized. The transcript is spliced from 3 exons. The record is from RefSeq and is a predicted model, not a curated record. NCBI's taxonomy places the organism in Eukaryota, Viridiplantae, Streptophyta, Magnoliopsida, Malpighiales, Euphorbiaceae.